RNAcentral lists this long non-coding RNA (1138 nucleotides) under Equus caballus (horse). RNAcentral describes it as "lncRNA (ENSECAG00000029370.3)". The record is from RNAcentral. Lineage: Eukaryota; Metazoa; Chordata; Mammalia; Perissodactyla; Equidae.
AGAUGGGAUUUUCAUUUUCUCUAUGGUUUUAGUGUCAGAUAAACACAGCUUUCAUGUCGUGUACACACUGCGAUAUGACUGCACAUGGUUUCAUUGAGAGUUUCAUACUUAUAGGGUAAAAUUAUACCAUAACAUGAAAUCCGAAAGGCUGGAAUCAAGCAUUGGGCCAAUCUUGAAUUCCCUUCAAGGAGGUUCUAAGCUCCUGGGAGUGUGCACAGAGGUGCUCAUUAUAACAUGAUUUUCUUUGUAACAUGGACCAUUCAUGCGAACCUUGAGGAUUACAUUACAGGGAAGCACUGUUUUUCUGGGAAAUGUUUCCUCCCCGGAGAAUUGUAUCUGCCCCCCUCAUGCACAUUCGUCAUGCCGCCAGCUGUUCUCUGUUGUCGUCACUUGCAGACUGCAGGCUGGGCCCACUCAGGAGUGACUCUCGCCAGGGUGAGAGAAUCUUGCACGAGUGCCUGUCACUCACCAGCUAAGCAUGGAAAAGUACUCCUGGAAAUGUGGCUCCUGGACUCUCUUCUUCAUCCCAGACACCCUUGUGAGGCAGCUACAGUGGAGCCUUGCUGAGUUGUCUCCAGGAAGCUGUUCAUGCAAAGAAGAGCCACUGCAAAACACUCAAGUUUAACUUAGGAAAGUAAGACUAUAGAAUAUGAUGUAAUUCUGUAAAACAUUGCUAUUCUCUCCACUCUUUUGUUUUAUACCCUGAGUCAGGCUGGCUCAGGUAAACUGUCAUUGCCCCAGUGGUGCUGCCCAGGGACUGAAAUGAGAAUUUUUUCUUUUCCCCCGGCUUUAUUAAGCUUAGGUAACUAAGGAGCCUGGCAAAUCCAUAUAUAACUCAACCUCCCAUGGGCAUGGGGCAUGCUCUAUUCUAUCCAUGGGGUACAGAGUGAUCCAAAUUUCUCACCUGUAUGUAAACUCCUAGGACAACCCUCAAAUCAUAUAAAAUUUUAAUUAUUUACAAUUCUGCUGUAAUAAAGAUUUACCUCUUUCCCCCCAUUUAUUUAUUUACUCAAUUGUUUAUUUAUAUCAGUGUGGACUUAGGUACAUUUACUCCGUGUGUUGGCUUAUAACCCAGUACUACAUUAUUUUGUUGCACAAAUUAUUCCAACUUUGACCAUUGGGAGUUCUUUUAGAUGGG